RNAcentral lists this ribosomal RNA (506 nucleotides) under uncultured bacterium. RNAcentral describes it as "partial 16S ribosomal RNA". It matches the Rfam family "Bacterial small subunit ribosomal RNA", at positions 29 to 523 of the family's 1533-position model. The record is from RNAcentral.
AGUGAACGCUGGCGGUAGGCCUAACACAUGCAAGUCGAACGGCAGCACAGGAGAGCUUGCUCUCUGGGUGUCGAGUGGCGGACGGGUGAGGAAUACAUCGGAAUCUACUUUUUCGUGAGGGAUAACGUAGGGAAACUUACGCUAAUACCGCAUACGACCUACGGGUGAAAGCAGGGGAUCUUCGGACCAUUCGCGAUUGAAUCAGCCGAUGUCGGAUUAUCGAGUUGGCGGGGUAAAGGCCCACCAAGGCGACGAUCCGUAGCUGGUAUGAGAGGAUGAUCAGCCACACUGGAACUGAGACACGGUCCAGACUCCUACGGGAGGCAGCAGUGGGGAAUAUUGGACAAUGGGCGCAAGCCUGAUCCAGCCAUACCGCGUGGGUGAAGAAGGCCUUCGGGUUGUAAAGCCCUUUUGUUGGGAAAGAAAUCCAGCUGGUUAAUACCCGGUUGGGAUGACGGUACCCAAAGAAUAAGCACCGGCUAACUUCGUGCCAGCCGCCGCAGUAA